UCAAUUUUAAUCUGAGUAUACCGUAUUUCAGCUGCUAUGCGUUAUUACUAUUGUCAACAGAAUACAAACUCCCUUCUCAAAUUUUCAUGUUAUGUGGAUCCAUUUUACGCAUCUCAUAGACAUUAGGAUUUCGAUUGUCAAUCCAGGGUAUAUGUCCGGUGUAAACUGUGGCAUCUAUGGCUUUUCUGGCAUGUCCGAUGGUGGAUUAGGAACAACACAUGGCGGAUUAGGAGGUAGUUUAAGAACAAGUUGUGGUGGUGGGAUGUAUGGAUAUCAAGUAGUAUAUACAACAUAGGAUGGUGUGGCGAUGGAUGUAUGGAUGAAUUUUGGAAUGUGAUACUGGAAGUAGGUAGGUGUGGUGUGUUAUUAUUUUCAAUCCAAUCUAUUGUGUUUGCUAAAUUAAAAUCCAAUUUAUAUGCUCGCCUCCAUGAUUUCGGUUUAAUUUUCAUUUUCAUUUUUAUGUAUGUAUAUAUAGCACACAUUUUACAUUAGUGAUGGAUAUAGUAAUAUCUUACAUUGGACAAAAUGCUAAUAGGUUAUCAAACAUUUCUGAUCUCGGACAUAGGAGAUCCUCCUUAUUUCAUCUUUAGUUUUUGUUGUAGGUUCUUUGGUGGUUAUCUUUGACUCUUUGGCUAAAUUCACAAUUUAGUUUUGGAAAAAAAAAACCAUAAUUUGAAAUAGAGAACUAGGAUUAUGAUGAUUAUCUGUGUGAUAUGGUGCUAGCGUGAGGUACAGAAAUCUCUUUCAUUCUUUUUCAUACCAGAAUUUAGGUUUGAUUUUUCACAGGCUUCGCUUUUAUCUAGGUCUCCUUAUUUGGGUCGCAGUUCUUCUAUCAAAUUCCAGGGUAUAUGUCCGGUGUAAACUGUGGCAUCUAUGGCUUUCCAGGCAUGUCCGAUGGUGGAUUAGGAACAACAUAUGGCGGAUUAGGAGGUAGUUUACGAACAAGUUGUGGUGGUGGGAUGUAUGGAUAUUAAGUAGUAUGUACAACAUAGGAGGGUGUGGCGAUGGAUGUAUGGAUGAAUUUUGGAAUGUGAUACUGGAAGUAGGUAGGUGUGGUGUGUUAUUAUUUUCAAUCCAAUCUAUUGUGUUUGCUAAAUUAAAAUCCAAUUUAUAUGCUCGCCUCCAUGAUUUCGGUUUAACUUUCAUUUUUAUGUAUGUAUAUAUAGCACACAUUUUACAUUAGUGAUGGAUAUAAUAAUAUCUUACAUUGGACGAAAUGCUAUUAGGUUUUUGAACAUUUCUGCUCUUGGACAUAGGAGUUCCUCCUUAUUUCAUCUUUAGUUUUUGUUGUAGGUUCUUUGGUGGUUAUCUUUGACUCUUUGGCUAAAUUCACAAUUUAGUUUUGGAAAAAAAAAAAUUGAAAUGGAGAACUAGGAUUAUGAUGAUUAUCUGUGUGAUCUGGUGCUAGCGUGUGGUACAGAGAUCAGGCUUUUGAUUUCGAUUGUCAAUCCAGGGUGUAUGUCUGGUGUAAACUGUGGCAUCUAUGGUUUUUCUGGCAUGUCCGAUGGUGGAUUAGGAACAACAUAUGGCGGAUUAGGAGGUAGUUUACGAACAAGUUGUGGUGGUGGGAUGUAUGGAUAUUAAGUAGUAUAUACAACAUAGGAGGGUGUGGCGAUGGAUGUAUGGAUGAAGUUUGGAAUGUGAUACAGGAAGUAGUGAUUUAGCAAUGACAUUUCCACUCAGAUAUAGCUCUGACAAGAAAAAUCAAGUUGCCGCUCAAGCUUACACCAUUUGUAUAGCUCAUAUGCUCUCUUAAAGAGUCGAUGACUGUGCAGGGACUUUUUUUAUUUUAAUGUGGACGUAAAGGCAAAUUGGAAAGCUUUAGAUGGAUCGACAAUCUUCUGUUGAGGUCACAAAUCUUUUGUGUCUUUGUGUUGAUUUGCAUUUUUGUUAUAGAUAGCAUGCACUAUGAUGCCUCCUUUGUUUAUGCUAAAAAAUAAUAAUUCCGCACUCACUUGGUUCUUCUAUUUUGCGAAUGAUUAUCCUGCCACCCUUAAACCCCUUUCACUAGGUAUGACAACUGAUGUUGUUGAAGCUCCAGGAACUCCAAGACCUGGGAAAAUUGUUCCAGCAACUGAUAGGAGUAAUGUAAAUGGAACACACGUAGCAAAACCAGUUGCCUCACGAUGUUGGGAUCCAAACACCGGGAUGAGUAGCUAUAUAACUGGAGUAGGAGGGUAUAUGUCCGGUGUAAACCGUGGCAUCUAUGGCUUUUCUGGCAUGUCCGAUGGUGGAUUAGGAACAACAUAUGGCGGAUUAGGAGGUAGUUUUCGAACAAGUUGAGGUGGAGGGAUGUAUGGAUAUUAAGUAGUAUGUACAACAUAGGAGGGUGUGGUGAUGGAUGUAUGGAUGAAGUUUGGAAUGUGAUAUAAUAAUAUCUUACAUUGGACGAAAUGCUAUUAGGUCACACAGAAUAAUGGAUCUAGACUGAGCAGAUCUUUCCUGGAAGGGAAAUGGACCUAGUUAAACAACUUCAGAUUGUGCUAUGUCUGAUAUUGUUUGAUACUAGACGGCUUCGUUUGUCUGAAGUUUCGUCAUAAUUGUAGGAUAUGGAUGCGAAGCAGUGGAGCUUGAGAAUAGAGUUACAUAUACAACCCUUCCAAUUUGCAACAUAAGCUACCUUCGCGGGAAAGCUAUUACAUUACUAACCUUCUUUUUUUGUUAACUGGCAAAAAUAAACCUCUGUUUUGGAUUUGAUAGAGAAAAAGUCUUUUCGUCAGUAUAAGGGAAAGAAUUCAAAAGAGAAGGCUAAGAUCUCUUAGAUGGGAUGCAGUGUCUGCUUUAUGCAUCUCCAUAUAUUCUAUGAUACUAAUUUUAAUCUUUUGAGAGAAUUGUCAGUUCCACUACUAGCAGGAGGCAUGUCAGUAUACGGGGGAUCGUCCCUAAAAGAACAACUGUUUUAUCUCCUUCUAAAAAAUCGAUUCUCUUUAUUAAUUCUCUCUAAACACAACUAACAUUGGAAAUCCACGCCUAUGAAAAUGUUUAUUACGGACACUGCUCAAAAAAUGGUUUAAUGGGAUGCAGUGACGCGAGUCCGACGCGGACACUGCUCAAAAUUGGAGCAUCCGUGUAACCAGCCACCACCAUAUCUUCAUUCGUAAAUCCAAAAACUCCAUUCGUAACGACAAAAAAAAAACCAUUCAACUCUCUCCUUUCCUCAAAAUCCAAAAACUCUUAGAUUUGUGAAAAUUAUUCACUGAUUUUUUAUUAUCUCUUCUUCAAUUCUUACUUACUUCAACCAGUGGAAGCAUAAUCUAAACCAUAACCAUAAAUAAAAUCAUUUCUAAACCUAAAUUCUGACCCAAAUAGUAUCAAAACGCAAGACGGUGAAGAAAGAAACUCAACAGAAGAAAAAUAAAGAUGAAAAAUUAAAGAAAACAGUGAACAAACUCCAAACAGUAAACCAAAAGGGAAAAAACGUCAAAGAUCGUAGAGGUGCUCAUCGACGAGAUAAAAGAGUACUCGCAUAUCGUGCCCAAGAAAAAAAAUCAGUUUUUGUUUAUGUUUUAGUUGCAGUUUAAGUUAACUGUAAAUGGUUAUCGGUCAAUUGAAAUGGUGACAAAUUAUAGUUUAUAAAAAAAGAUUUUAAUAAUUUUAGUUUGUAAACUAAUUAAUAGCAUUUUUCAACAUUAUAUUCCUUUCAGAAAUAGUUGAAAAAACUUCAAACAUAUCAUUUUACAAGUAAUAAAAAAUGAUUCCACGA
This is an RNA transcript of Papaver somniferum (opium poppy), 3703 nucleotides long. RefSeq lists it as uncharacterized. Lineage: Eukaryota; Viridiplantae; Streptophyta; Magnoliopsida; Ranunculales; Papaveraceae. The transcript has 7 exons. The record is from RefSeq and is a predicted model, not a curated record.